RNAcentral lists this ribosomal RNA (253 nucleotides) under uncultured bacterium. RNAcentral's name for it is "partial 16S ribosomal RNA". It matches the Rfam family "Bacterial small subunit ribosomal RNA", at positions 524 to 776 of the family's 1533-position model. The record is from RNAcentral.
UACGGGGGGGGUAAGCGUUGUUCGGAAUUACUGGGCGUAAAGGGCUCGUAGGCGGCCAACUAAGUCAGACGUGAAAUCCCUCAGCUUAACUGGGGAACUGCGUCUGAUACUGGAUGGCUUGGAUUUGGGAGAGGAAUGCGGAAUUCCAGGUGUAGCGGUGAAAUGCGUAGAUAUCUGGAGGAACACCGGUGGCGAAGGCGGCAUUCUGGACCAAUAUUGACGCUGAGACGCGAAAGCGUGGGGAGCGAACAGG